Molecule: long non-coding RNA, 1095 nt
Organism: Gasterosteus aculeatus aculeatus (three-spined stickleback)
Lineage: Eukaryota; Metazoa; Chordata; Actinopteri; Perciformes; Gasterosteidae
Source: Ensembl
CACACACACGGGGCGUCUCUCAUCAAAGCUUUGAGUCGGGGUGCAUCCCUCCAGUCUGCUUGGACAGAAGAUGAUGAACUACUGCUGCUGUGGAGUUUUAAAGUGACAGUUAAUGGUUUUAAACGAAAGUGAAAGUGACGAUGGCGGCCAUCUUUUUAUAGACACACCUGCAACGCAACCUAACGCAACGCAACCUAACGCAACACAACCUAACGCAACGCAACGUAGCGCUGCUGCUCAUUGGGGAACGGGCAAUGAAAUCAGAACAUAAACUGAUCAGAUGAGCUCCUGUUUAACUCACUGAAUGUAAUAGUUUCCUCCGUGUGUGUGUGUGUGUGUGUGUGUGCGGUGUGUGUGUGUGUGUGCGUGUGCAUGUGUGUGAUCACCUGAGAGCUGCACAGGAACCUGAGAGCGCUCUGGUGAGCGAGGUCCUGACAGCGUCGGCUGAAUUAUUGAGACGCACUCGCACACAAAGCUAACGCAUCGCUGGGCUCCUCCCGGUCAAUGGCUCCCCCGGGUCGGGUUGAACACCUGGAGGCGGGAGGGGAGGGAGGUGAAGGAGAGAGGAGAUGAUGAGGAGGAGAGGAUGCAUGAGAGGACUCAGGAGAAACGAGAGCCCAGGAGAUAAGAGGGGAGGGAACAAAAAGAAAUAUGGACACAAAAGAGGAGGACAGAAGAGUUUAGCAAAGAAAGGAAACUAUUGUAGAAGGGAGGAGACGAUGACAUGAGUGAAAAGAAGGAACAGAAAAACAAAACAAGGAGCGGUGACAAAAGAAGUGGGGGAAACACAGAAGAGGAUGAAGAGGAGGAGAAGAUGAAGAGUGAGAGGUGCAAAUGAGGGAGCGAGGAAGAGGGGAGGAAGAGAAGCGGAAGAGGGGAAGAGGACUAGAAGAAAUGGAGAAGAGGAGGGAAAGGAGGAGGAAGAGGAGAUGGGGUGAGCUGUGUGUGUGUGUGUGUGUGUGUGUGUGUGUGUGUGUGUGUGUGUCUGCACUAAGAGGAAUCUCCCCCUCUCAGCAUCUACAAACUCUGAGACGAGGGGCUUCUUUUUUUCUGUUAAAUCCUCGGCCAAUCAGCGACCCCCUUGCUCCUCCCGGG